UCUGUAAAUUGAAACAGAAUGCGUUAGUCUUACUAGUGUGAUUUCAAUUUAUCUUACUUGAUCAUUUCCAAGCAUCGGAAGCAUAAGUAUACGUUAUAUGUACAUGAGAAUACGCAACGUUUAAGGAUAUUGAUCUUUGAUCGCUCGGUUGUUUCUAGCAAUCGACCCGUUUAUAAGAUAAUUAUCGUUUAAGGCCAAUAUCUCGAAUCUCGAGUUCUUCCCGUCAAUCAAUCUAUUUAUAUUACUUAUUUUUCCAGUCACUCAUAUACCAAGAAAUUCUAAAUAUAUCCAACACGCGCAAGAAGGAUCACUCUAUGCAUUUUGAUCAUUUGAUUGAUUGAAACCUAGUGUAUCUCUUAUUCUUCGAAGGGAAACGUCCGUAUAAAUCUUUAAGAAAUUUCAUUCGAUUCGAAACUUAUACGUAUUCUUUCCUUUUUCAAGGUUAGAAGAAAUGAGUAGCGUGCCAUCACGUGUACCACAGUCGACGUACAGAAACGUAAUCGGAGUGGAAUGGCAUUCAGUUGAAAUAUCGACACACAAUUUACGUCAAGAAUGUCCGCCACCAACCAAUUGAUACCAAUUCCGUCCGUUGUGCAAUUGGCGUCGCUUGACACCAGUUUAUUUAAACGCAUGCGCUAUUUAUCACGCUAAACAUCGUAUUCUGUGAACGGCCAUGUCGUGUAAAAGGUUGUGGAUCAAGGUAAUGAUGCUUCUCAUCUAAUCCGGAACUGUAUUUAAUCAUUCUUUCUUUAUUUGCAUAAUUCAUUGUUAUUAUAUUCACGUUUAAUGAUCUCAGCAAUAUACGAGAGGAAGAAUUCGUCGCUUAUCGAAUUUCAGGGAAAAUGGAGGAUUUGUCACAUGACGCGCAAAUACCGUGAUUCAGCGAUGACAAAAACGAUAAUAAAACAGACAUUCCCGAAUGCACGAAGUUACCACAUGCAAAAUGAAUGUAACGAAUUAUUGGACCACGAUAAACAAUCACAUCUCAACAAAAUCUUGUCGAAAUAGAUCGUGAAUGAAGUUUGCAAAUACGAUAUUGCUAAGUAAUCAAAUCUUUAUUCGGGGUUAUCGAAAUCUGACAUUUUCUUUAAAACAGUAAACACUUAGAUUUGUCAAAGUCUCGAUUCUAGAUCUUUAAAAAUAAUCUAGUGUUUUUAUAGUAUUUAUUAUAUAUUGUAUAUUAUAUAAUACACAUUAUAUAAUAAUAUAGCAUAAUACAACAUAAAUUCUUCAAAUAUUGAAACUCUCAAUCCUCGUUUUUUACUAGUUCUCAUUGUCAAAGGAAAAUUGAAACUGAACUAUAAAUAACAAGAAAAACUAUAAAAACAUCUCAAAUUUCUUCAGCGUUUUCCUUAAACGUGGUAUAUUUUAAUUGGAAAUUUCUCCGAGAUAGGAAGAAAAAGUAAUAUGAAAAGAAAUGAAUACUUUGAUAUUCCAUUGAAUAUAGGAAACUGGUUAGAACCAGAAUGACGCGUGCUGUGCGUAGUCAUACGCGCGCCAUAGAUAAAUUAGUGUUACUUAAGAGAAAUGCGCGUAAACUGUACGAGAUUCGCGUGGAAACUCAUCCUUCUUGAGUCAAAUAAUUUAAAUGAAAAACGCAAAAAUAAAGCAAAAAUGGAAAAAAAGAAAUCGACUGAAUGAGUCAACCAUUCGAGAAGAUAGAAAUAAAUUUCGUAGGGGAAAGAAGAGAGAGAAGCAUCAAAUCUGCAAUUUAGAUAACAUCUCGUCAUUAUGUAUUUGCAAACUCUGUUCCUGCGGAUAUAUAUGCUCGAAGAUUUUAGAAUUCUCUAAAGCUUAAAGAAAAGAAGAACAGUGAUAUAGUUUACCUGCACUUUAGUUGGGCAUUCUCUCCACGUCGAAUAGAGCCGAGUUCCAAACUAGAGUUGGAGGCGUCUGAAUCGCUGUGCACUGGGCUCGGUGGGCCACCGUUCGUCAAACCAUCAGGCGACACUCCCAAACCCGGCAACGCGUUCGAUGGGGAAGUUCCGAGUUCUUCCUCGACCGGCAUGCUUCGCGGCCAAACCGGAAGGUCUAGCGGUGCUUGCUGAUGCAGGCUGAGGCUCCCGUAGUAGUUGAUGUUUGGGCUAGUCGGGUAACCGGAAAUCGGGCUGUAAAAACCCGGUAUCGUUCCUAGCAACGUGCCAGGAUAACGAACGGAGCCGUACCCACCAACGUGGCUUGGCAUUCUACCCGGGACGUAAACGAUCAUUUUUAUUCUCUUUUUUUUUUGUAUUUUCUUUUUCGUUAAUCGAAUUCGACCAGAAACGUGCAAAUUUCCCCUUUAUAAAAUUUUUAGACUUUCAAUCAAAGAGAAUUUUUGUGAAAGUAUGGUAUCGAUUGUGUUUCACUUUGAUGUGAAAAAUUUUUACGAAUAGAUUUGAAAGGUUGACAAUAUUUUCGUUAUUUCAAAUCAAUAAUUUAAUCUUGCGUUUCAUCGGCUGCUAUGUAUCUAUCCGAUUGAUUCGUAUCACCUCUUUAUAGAUUAAAAUUCGUUUUCUUCUUUCGCGAUUUUUUUAUCGCGUUUUCGAAAGUGUUUCGAAAACGGCGGACGUCUCCUCGUUUCCUCAGACCGUAUCAAGGGUAGGAAACGAUCGACGCAUGGAUCGAAAAUCGCGAACAAGACUUUCCAGGUCUUGCCGGUCCCUUUCUCUGUGUUCGAUCCCUCUAUCCUCCGAACUAUCCGUUCCCAACAAGUCGAACACGGCACAGUACGCUCACGUAUACACUCUCGCCGUAGCGCACACCCUUUUAUCACACUUAGUCCGAGUCCGUAUCGUCAGAUGUACUUGAACCGAUUCGACUUGAGUAUACGGUAGCUCAGGAAUUGUUUGCUGUACUCGAUCGAGAACAUAACUAGGCUGGCCCGCAACAGAUUCAUCAAACGUGGGUACUCUUUCUUCACGGUGGCCGUCGUCUUUCUAGAACGAUAUUUCAAAUCCAAUCCGCAAUUCUGAUAGAGCUUCGUGGCGCGCGUGGAAAAACACAAUUAAUGUUUCAGGGAUGGAGAGCGUUCGGUUUACUACCGACGCUAGAACACCGUCGCCUUCAUCUUUUUUUAGUUCUUUCUAUUAUCCCUCUGUUUUGACCUGUGUAUAAAUUGCAACUCUAAAGCUUAGCUUUCCUUAUCUUUCAGCAAAUAUCUUGGAGCGUGAUGAUCGAAGUUGUGUAGGGAUGACGAUGAAUCGCGUACAACGGUGGUCAAGACGUAUAUCGAUGACACUCGA
Molecule: long non-coding RNA, 3224 nt
Organism: Apis florea (little honeybee)
Lineage: Eukaryota; Metazoa; Arthropoda; Insecta; Hymenoptera; Apidae
Source: RefSeq, a predicted model, not a curated record